GUAGGUGGCAAGCGUUGUCCGGAAUUAUUGGGCGUAAAGCGCGCGCAGGCGGUUCUUUAAGUCUGAUGUGAAAGCCCACGGCUCAACCGUGGAGGGUCAUUGGAAACUGGAGAACUUGAGUACAGAAGAGGAAAGCGGAAUUCCACGUGUAGCGGUGAAAUGCGUAGAGAUGUGGAGGAACACCAGUGGCGAAGGCGGCUUUCUGGUCUGUAACUGACGCUGAGGCGCGAAAGCGUGGGGAGCAAACAGGGAUUAGAUACCCUGGUAGUCCACGCCGUAAACGAUGAGUGCUAAGUGUUAGGGGGGUUUCCGCCCCCUUAGUGCUGCAGCUAACGCAUUAAGCACUCCGCCUGGGGAUACGGCCGCAGGCUG
This 372-nucleotide ribosomal RNA is filed under the name uncultured organism. Its description in RNAcentral is "partial 16S ribosomal RNA". It matches the Rfam family "Bacterial small subunit ribosomal RNA", at positions 527 to 896 of the family's 1533-position model. The record is from RNAcentral.